UGGAGAUGUAGCUUAGUGGUAGAGCACUUACCUAGCAUGUGUACGGCCUGGGUUCAGUUCCCAGCACUGCAA
This 72-nucleotide transfer RNA is filed under the name Marmota monax (woodchuck). RNAcentral's name for it is "tRNA.Ala". It matches the Rfam family "tRNA". From Rfam's summary of the family: Transfer RNA (tRNA) molecules are approximately 80 nucleotides in length. Their secondary structure includes four short double-helical elements and three loops (D, anti-codon, and T loops). Further hydrogen bonds mediate the characteristic L-shaped molecular structure. tRNAs have two regions of fundamental functional importance: the anti-codon, which is responsible for specific mRNA codon recognition, and the 3' end, to which the tRNAs corresponding amino acid is attached (by aminoacyl-tRNA synthetases). tRNAs cope with the degeneracy of the genetic code in two manners: having more than one tRNA (with a specific anti-codon) for a particular amino acid; and 'wobble' base-pairing, i.e. permitting non-standard base-pairing at the 3rd anti-codon position. Lineage: Eukaryota; Metazoa; Chordata; Mammalia; Rodentia; Sciuridae. The record is from RNAcentral.